RNAcentral lists this ribosomal RNA (457 nucleotides) under uncultured bacterium. RNAcentral describes it as "bacterial SSU rRNA". It matches the Rfam family "Bacterial small subunit ribosomal RNA", at positions 340 to 786 of the family's 1533-position model. The record is from RNAcentral.
UACGGAAGGCAGCAGUGGGGAAUAUUGCACAAUGGGCGCAAGCCUGAUGCAGCCAUGCCGCGUGUAUGAAGAAGGCCUUCGGGUUGUAAAGUACUUUCAGCGGGGAGGAAGGCGAUGUGGUUAAUAACCGCGUCGAUUGACGUUACCCGCAGAAGAAGCACCGGCUAACUCCGUGCCAGCAGCCGCGGUAAUACGGAGGGUGCAAGCGUUAAUCGGAAUUACUGGGCGUAAAGCGCACGCAGGCGGUCUGUUUAAGUCAGAUGUGAAAUCCCCGGGCUUAACCUGGGAACUGCAUUUUGAAACUGGCAGGCUUGAGUCUCGUAGAGGGGGUAGAAUUCCAGGUGUAGCGGUGAAAUGCGUAGAGAUCUGGAGGAAUACCGGUGGCGAAGGCGGCCCCUGGGACGAAGACUGACGCUCAGGGUGCGAAAGCGUGGGGAGCAAACAGGAUUAGGAUACC